CCCCUCUAUGGGGUAAACAACCCAGUCAGCUGACCCCGGUUGCCACGGCAACGAGCAUGAGCAAGGGCCUUCCCAUGAGCCGAGCGUUGGCCCCGUCCCACCCCACAGCAGGACAGGAGAUCACCCAGUCCAACCCCUGCCAGAGCAGGGCCACCCAGAGCAGGUCCCACAGGAACGUCUCCAGGUGGGGUUUGAAUGUCUCCAGAGAAGGAGACUCCACCACCUCCCUGGGCAGCCUCUGCCAGGGCUCUGCCACCCUCACAGGAAAGAAGUUCCUCCUCAUGUUCAGAUGGAACUUCUUAUGUUCAAGUUUGUGCCCCUUUCCUCUUGUCCUGUCACUGGGCACCACUGAAACAAGACCGGCCCCAUCCUCCUGACACCCACCCUUUAAGUAUUUCACAGAAUCACGGAAUUGUCAGAGUUGGAAGGAACCUUCUAGAGACCCUCCAGUCCAACUCCCCAGCCAGAGCUGGGCUGUCCAGAGCACAUCACUCAGGAGCAUCCAGGUGGGGCUUGAAGAUCUCCAGAGAAGGGGACUCCACACCCUCCCUGGGCAGCCUCUGCCAGGGCUCUGCCACCCUCACCCCAAAGAAGUUCUUCCUCACAUUGGAGUGGAACUUCCCAUGUUCCAGCUUGUGCCCGUUGCCCCUCGUCCUGUCCCUGGGAACCACUGAGAAGAGUCCAGCUCCAUCCUCCCUCAACCCACCCUUUAGAUCCUUGGAAGCAUUAAUAAGGUCUCCCCUCAGCCUUCUCUUCUCUAGGCUGAAGAGUCCCAGCUCUCUCAGCCUUUCCUCAUCAGGGAGAUGCUCCCCCUCAGUUAUCUUUGUUGCUCUACGUUGGACUCUCUCUCCAGCAGUUCCCUGUCUCUCUUGGACUGAGGAGCCCAGAACUGGACGCAGGAUUCCAGCUGUGGCCUCACCAGUGCAGAGCAGAGGGGGAGAAUGACCUCCCUUGAGGCCCCUAUUUAUAGGCGUUGAUCAGACCCCCCUCAGUCUUCUCCAGGCUAAAAAGACCCAAGUCCCUCAGCCUCUC
Molecule: long non-coding RNA, 1032 nt
Filed under: Calidris pygmaea (Spoon-billed sandpiper)
Lineage: Eukaryota; Metazoa; Chordata; Aves; Charadriiformes; Scolopacidae
Description: lncRNA (ENSCPGG00000017080.1)
Source: RNAcentral